GUGGACGUUUUUUUUUUUUCAUUUAUAUGUAUUGUCUGGAUUUAUUUCAGCAUUUUUUGUAGUUUUCCUUGUAGAGAUCUUCGACACCCUUGGUUAGGUGUCUUAUUAGAUAUUUCCCUUUUUUAUGGCUAUUGUAAAUGGGUUUGUGUUCUUGAUUUAGCUCUCAUUGAGGAUAUUAUUGGUAUAUAGAAAUGCUACUGGGUUUCAUACAUUGAUUUUGUAUCCUGUAAAUUUACUGAAGUUAUUUAUCAGUUCGAGGAGCAGUUGGGCAAAGACUAUGGGGUUUUCUAGGUAUAGAAUUAUGUUAAUAGUUAAGAGAGAUAUUUUCCCUUCUUCUUUUCCUAUUUAGAUGCCUUUUUAUUCUCUCACCUCUGAUUGUUCUGGCUAGGACAUCCAGUACUAUGUUGAAUAGCAGUGGUGAGAGUAGGCAUUCUUGUCCUUCCAGUUCUCAAGGGAAAUGGUCUCAGCUUUUUCUUGUUCAGUAUGAUAUUGGCUGUGGAUUUGUCAUCGAUGGUUCUUAUGAUUUUGGACGUAUGUUCCUUAGAUACUCAGUCUGUUGGGGGUUUCUGUUAUAAAUGGAUGUUGGAUUUUAUGGUGCUUUUUCUGCAUCUAUUGAGAUGAUCAUGUGCUUUUUGUUUUUUAUUCUGUUUAUGUGAUAAAUCACAUGUAUUUAUUUGAGUAUGUUAAAACCCAACUUUUAUAUUCCAGGAAUAAAUCUUACUUGUUUUUGGUAAAUUAACUUUGUGAUAUGUUAUUAGAUUCAGCUUGCUAGUAUCUUCUUGAGGAUUUUUACAUCCAUUUUCAUCAAGUAUACUGACUUGAAGUUUUCUUUUGUCAUUGUGUCUCUGAUAGAUUGUGUAUCAGGAUGAUGCUGACUUUGCAGAAUAAGUUCGGAAGGAGCUCCUCAUCAUCAAUUUUUUUGGAAAUAUUUUUGGUGUUCCAGGCCACAGGGCUUCCUCAAGCAGAGGCCACAGCUGGCAGACAAACCACCCCCUUCUUGGAUCAGCCCUGCAAAGUGAAGUAUGCCCUGCUCCCAUGACAGCUUAUGAACCCAGCAUCACAUCCUACUCAGUUCUGAUAAAGAAGACACCUCUCUCAUUCAGGUAAAGAAAGCUUUUCAAGUUUUACUGACUGAAGACAAUCAACCCUCUUCACAACUGAGAACCUGAAGAUUGAAUCUUCUGAGAACAUCAGAGAAAGACUACCCUUGCCAUCCAUACUGCAGAAAAACUUCAGGACCUUGAACCUUGGGUUCAUAAUCUAACAACUCAGAAGUGUCUCUCCACACUCUUGGAACAGUACACCCAUUGGAAACCUUAAGGUAAAGCUAACCAGGAAAGUUUUUCCACAGAACAAGGCAUCCUUAAUGUGAACAGCUUUUUCUCAAGAUAAAGAUCAAGAUUUCUCCACUAUCAUAAUACUCUUAUCUUUCCGUUUUUACCCUUGCUUAUGCCUCUAUGAACAAUAGGAAUGAAAGGAGCUCUGUUGUGCAGACUUAUAAGGUAUACUUUUAUUUGUAAAGAUUCUUACAGCCAGCCUUAUACAUGGAUAACUCUAUGACUUAAUAGAUGGAAGAUGAAGGCCUAAUGGAGGUGAGAUAUUUUGUUGGUACGCACACUGUCUCAUAAUCAGUAAGAAAUAGACAUUUGUCUGUUAAAGAGACAUGGGUUAAAGAGAACGUUUCCAGGAGGUCUUUACUCUUCUAAAAGGGAACCGUUUUUUAGGUCUUUUCUUUCUCAUAGUUUGGAGUAAAGGAGACAAUGAUUAAAAAUUUAGCCUCGUAAUAGGCUCUGUAGCAGAUUUUACUAUAAAGGCUAUGGGUGCACAACAGACUUUAAAUUGUCUUGUGAAAGUUAUUCUAAAUAAUAGAAUUGCUCUAGAUUACUUACUAGCUAAACAGAGAAGUAUCUGUGCAGCUACUGGCACUAGUUUUCCAUGGAAAAAUACAUCACAUUAGGUAUGAUAGAGAUUCAUUCGUAGGGGAUUAACAGUCUACUUAGUUAAAGCGAGCAGACUCUUUAUCCAGCUCGUUCCUUGAUCUAUUUAAUUUUAGGUGAUUUGGUUUAUGGGGACCCUGGCCAAGGAGCAUAAUUCAAACUCUUGAUAUUGUCCUCCUGAUAGUCAUAAUAGUAGUCUCCCUGGUGCACCAUGUUCUCUCAAGUUUUAAAUGUUUGCAUGCAACCACCUUUCAAAUGUUAAAUGGUAUCUCUUUUUUUUUUUUUUAUUGAAGUCAGUGAGACAAAGAACCCACCAAUUCCGGACACACUAAUUCCUUCUUUUAGCAUAAUGAAGGCAGAUAAUUUUCUAUAAUAAAGGGAGGGCUUUUCUGGGAAUUGAUUGGGCAAUUCCCAGAAUCAGUGCCAUCCUUUUUUUCUUACUAAAUAUGUUUAAUCUGAAACUGUUAUGGCACCAGGUGUAUGAUGGGAAUAGGAGGUUUCCCCAUGGAAAUAUUAUGGUAAUGGGAGCAUAAUGCAGUCAAGGGUCAGCAGCUAGUCAAGUUUUCAGCCAUCUUGGAUUUAACCACUUGUGGAUUUAUCUACUAGCAGUUUUUUCUUUGUUAGGAUAUUCUUAUUUGUGCCUAAACAAGAUAUCUAUAAUCUGUCUUCAUUGUUAUAACCUGUUGCAACAGUUCUUUGCUAGUAGGGGACAUGUCUUUGUGAUAAUGUGUUUGGUCCUAUUUGUAUUGCUUUGAGCCACCUGCAAGUAAUCAUGUCCUGUUUCCUCGCUAAAUGCCUGCCCUACUUUCACAUAUUUUGUUAAAGAAGGCAAUGAAAAUUCUUGCUUUUUUCUUUAUUUGAGUUUUGAAAAUAAUAAAUAAUUACCUUAACAUCCACCAGGAAUAAUUAAUCAGAUGUCUGUUUGCUUGAUUGUCUAUUGGAAGGGAACAUACACACUUUGAAUGUAGAUAAAUUGAUUCCAUUUAUACAGUUGUAAUUGCUGAUAUGCUUUUUUAAAUGUCCCAAAUAGAAUUUAGCAAUUUUACUUAUGCAUUAUGAAAUAUCCAUACCUCAAAUUUAUAUUCUUGCAGGUAAAAUUGGAAUUACAAUGAAUAUAUAUGGUAAUUUUGGCCAAGAGAUAAUUGUGGGCCCUUCUUUCACCUUGGCAAAAUGUGAGCCUAGAGUUUAGAAUUGGAGACACCCAGGACAAGUACUGCGUACAUGGUGGGUACAGGAAAACUUAGUUCUUAAAGAUAUUUAAAACUCUGAUGUAGAUAGGAAUUUUAAUUUAGGCCUACAAGAGCCCACACAGACAGAAAAAAGACUUUUUAGCUCAAUCUAACUUUUAAUAUUUUACUAUUGAAUUUUAUCACUUUAUGUUUAUAAUCAUAAUAAAUAUUUAAAUUCAUGUCAUCUUAAAAUAUGCCUUUCAAUAUUUUCAAGUUUUCUUCUUCCUUUGUUAACCUAUUGGUAUUUUCCCACAUGCAUGAUUUUUUUUGUUUACAUAUAUUUUGUGACAUUUAUAAAAUAAUACAAUCUCUUGGAAAGCAUGUUAUUCUUUUUAUCUUUCAAAAUACCAAAGGCAGUUUUUUGCAUUUAGUGUUUCUGUUAUGAUAGCUUUCAACAUUUACAUUUAAUAUAAUAUUUCCUAUAUGGUGAACUUAUAUUUUUUAAAUUAAUACUUUCAGAAUAGAUAAUAAGCUUAAUUGCUGAUAUUGUCUGCCUAGAAAGGAGUUUCCCAAGGCCUAGUGCACUGGCUCACACCUGUAAUCCCAGCACUUUGGGAGUCCGAGGCAUGUGGAUCACGAGGUCAGGAGUUCAAGACCAGCCUGGCCAACAUAGUGAAACCUCAUCUCUACUAAAAAUACAAAAAUUAGCCGGGUGUGGUGGUGGGUGCCUAUAGUCCCAGCUACUUGGGAGGCUGAGGCAGAGAAUAGCUUUAACCUGGGAGGUAGAGGGUGCAGUGAGCAGAGAUCGUGCCUCUGCACUGCAACCUGGGAGACAGAGCAAGACUCCAUCUCAAAAAAAAAAAAAGAAA
Long non-coding RNA from Homo sapiens (human), 3975 nucleotides. RefSeq lists it as uncharacterized. Lineage: Eukaryota; Metazoa; Chordata; Mammalia; Primates; Hominidae. The record is from RefSeq and is a predicted model, not a curated record. The transcript is spliced from 3 exons.